GACGAACGCUGGCGGCGUGCCUAAUACAUGCAAGUGGGACGCAAGGGAACACACUGUGCUUGCACACCGUGUUUUCUUGAGUCGCGAACGGGUGAGUAACGCGUAGGUAACCUGCCUAUUAGCGGGGGAUAACUAUUGGAAACGAUAGCUAAUACCGCAUAAUAUUAAUUAUUGCAUGAUAAUUGAUUGAAAGAUGCAAGCGCAUCACUAGUAGAUGGACCUGCGUUGUAUUAGCUAGUUGGUAAGGUAAGAGCUUACCAAGGCGACGAUACAUAGCCGACCUGAGAGGGUGAUCGGCCACACUGGGACUGAGACACGGCCCAGACUCCUACGGGAGGCAGUAGUAGGGAAUCUUCGGCAAUGGACGAAAGUCUGACCGAGCAACGCCGCGUGAGUGAAGAAGGUUUUCGGAUCGUAAAGCUCUGUUGUAAGUCAAGAACGUGUGUGAGAGUGGAAAGUUCACACAGUGACGGAGCUACCAGAAAGGAC
RNAcentral lists this ribosomal RNA (489 nucleotides) under Streptococcus mutans. RNAcentral describes it as "bacterial SSU rRNA". It matches the Rfam family "Bacterial small subunit ribosomal RNA", at positions 28 to 493 of the family's 1533-position model. The record is from RNAcentral. Lineage: Bacteria; Bacillati; Bacillota; Bacilli; Lactobacillales; Streptococcaceae.